UACGAAGGGGGCUAGCGUUGCUCGGAAUCACUGGGCGUAAAGCGCACGUAGGCGGAUUGCUAAGUCAGGGGUGAAAUCCUGGAGCUCAACUCCAGAACUGCCUUUGAUACUGGCGAUCUCGAGUCCGGGAGAGGUGAGUGGAACUGCGAGUGUAGAGGUGAAAUUCGUAGAUAUUCGCAAGAACACCGGUGGCGAAGGCGGCUCACUGGCCCGGUACUGACGCUGAGGUGCGAAAGCGUGGGGAGCAAACAGG
Molecule: ribosomal RNA, 253 nt
Filed under: uncultured bacterium
Lineage: Bacteria
Description: partial 16S ribosomal RNA
Rfam family: Bacterial small subunit ribosomal RNA
Source: RNAcentral